CCCAGGUAAUGUUGGUGCUGCUGGUUUGAGGACCACACUUUGAGUAGCAAGGCUUAGAGCACCCACUUUGGCAUUGACCAGGCUAUUUUGAGUCCUGACUGCACCACUUCAAUAGCUGUGUGACCUUAGGCUUGCAAUGAUGGAUGACCAGCAGGACUUCAGCUGAAAUUUGGUUUAUUUCUCAAUUUGCAGGAAUUUACUAGGGGCUGGCCCCGUGGCCGAGUGGUUAAGUUCUCGCGCUCCGCUGCAGGCGGCCCGGUGUUUCGUCGGUUCGAAUCCUGGGCGCGGACAUGGCACUGCUCGUCAGACCACGCUGAGGCAGUGUCCCACAUGCCACAACUAGAG
RNAcentral lists this long non-coding RNA (345 nucleotides) under Equus caballus (horse). RNAcentral describes it as "lncRNA (ENSECAG00000058373.1)". The record is from RNAcentral. Lineage: Eukaryota; Metazoa; Chordata; Mammalia; Perissodactyla; Equidae.